Xenopus laevis (African clawed frog) is the source of this 239-nucleotide long non-coding RNA. RefSeq lists it as uncharacterized. Lineage: Eukaryota; Metazoa; Chordata; Amphibia; Anura; Pipidae. The transcript is spliced from 3 exons. The record is from RefSeq and is a predicted model, not a curated record.
CAAUCUGACGAGCGUUUAGAAGGUGUUUUCAUGCUGUUAAACUACUUCACUGGAAACCUAGAAAUUGGACACAGUGUGUGGAAAUUGCAAGACAUAAGUUUGAAAAGUACUUCAGUCAUAAAGGCACAACAGUUACUACAUUCUUUCCCUCUGGACACACGAUUAAAAGAUGGCACUUUAUUUUGGCAGUCCCCAAAGCGACCACCUACUCCAGUACACUUUGAUGCAAAGGACCAACU